This 69-nucleotide transfer RNA is filed under the name Neosalanx taihuensis. Its description in RNAcentral is "tRNA-Ala". It matches the Rfam family "tRNA". Rfam says of the family: Transfer RNA (tRNA) molecules are approximately 80 nucleotides in length. Their secondary structure includes four short double-helical elements and three loops (D, anti-codon, and T loops). Further hydrogen bonds mediate the characteristic L-shaped molecular structure. tRNAs have two regions of fundamental functional importance: the anti-codon, which is responsible for specific mRNA codon recognition, and the 3' end, to which the tRNAs corresponding amino acid is attached (by aminoacyl-tRNA synthetases). tRNAs cope with the degeneracy of the genetic code in two manners: having more than one tRNA (with a specific anti-codon) for a particular amino acid; and 'wobble' base-pairing, i.e. permitting non-standard base-pairing at the 3rd anti-codon position. Lineage: Eukaryota; Metazoa; Chordata; Actinopteri; Osmeriformes; Salangidae. RNAcentral also lists the same sequence under 1 other name. The record is from RNAcentral.
AAGGCCUUAGCUUAAUUAAAGUAGUUGAGUUGCAUUCAGAAGAUAUGGGUGAGAGACCCGUAGGUCUUA